This 441-nucleotide ribosomal RNA is filed under the name Selenomonas sputigena. Its description in RNAcentral is "bacterial SSU rRNA". It matches the Rfam family "Bacterial small subunit ribosomal RNA", at positions 28 to 454 of the family's 1533-position model. The record is from RNAcentral. Lineage: Bacteria; Bacillati; Bacillota; Negativicutes; Selenomonadales; Selenomonadaceae.
GACGAACGCUGGCGGCGUGCUUAACACAUGCAAGUCGAACGGGAACCUUUAUUUCGGUAAAGGUGAGAGUGGCAAACGGGUGAGUAACACGUAGGCAACCUGCCGACAGGAUGGGGACAACAUUCCGAAAGGAAUGCUAAUACCGAAUGGAGUCCGAGGAUGGCAUCAUCCUUGGAUAAAAGAUGGCCUCUGAAUAUGCUAUCGCCUGUCGAUGGGCCUGCGUCUGAUUAGCCAGUUGGCGGGGUAACGGCCCACCAAAGCGACGAUCAGUAGCCGGUCUGAGAGGAUGAACGGCCACAUUGGGACUGAGACACGGCCCAGACUCCUACGGGAGGCAGCAGUGGGGAAUCUUCCACAAUGGGCGAAAGCCUGAUGGAGCAACGCCGCGUGAGUGAAGAAGGUCUUCGGAUCGUAAAGCUCUGUUGCACGGGACGAAAACUG